GGGGAUAUAGCUCAGUGGUAGAGUGCACGCUUAGCAUGCACAAGGUCCUGGGUUGAAUCUCCAGUAUCUCCC
RNAcentral lists this transfer RNA (72 nucleotides) under Camelus bactrianus (Bactrian camel). It matches the Rfam family "tRNA". From Rfam's summary of the family: Transfer RNA (tRNA) molecules are approximately 80 nucleotides in length. Their secondary structure includes four short double-helical elements and three loops (D, anti-codon, and T loops). Further hydrogen bonds mediate the characteristic L-shaped molecular structure. tRNAs have two regions of fundamental functional importance: the anti-codon, which is responsible for specific mRNA codon recognition, and the 3' end, to which the tRNAs corresponding amino acid is attached (by aminoacyl-tRNA synthetases). tRNAs cope with the degeneracy of the genetic code in two manners: having more than one tRNA (with a specific anti-codon) for a particular amino acid; and 'wobble' base-pairing, i.e. permitting non-standard base-pairing at the 3rd anti-codon position. RNAcentral also lists the same sequence under 2 other names. Lineage: Eukaryota; Metazoa; Chordata; Mammalia; Artiodactyla; Camelidae. The record is from Rfam by way of RNAcentral.